AGGUGUUGAUGUGUCACUCAUACA
This 24-nucleotide non-coding RNA is filed under the name Arabidopsis thaliana (thale cress). The record is from RNAcentral. Lineage: Eukaryota; Viridiplantae; Streptophyta; Magnoliopsida; Brassicales; Brassicaceae.